CGGGGCGUGGCGCAGCUUGGUAGCGCGCUUGCUUUGGGAGCAAGAGGCCGGCGGUUCGAAUCCGCCCGCCCCGACCA
RNAcentral lists this transfer RNA (77 nucleotides) under Thermoleophilia bacterium. RNAcentral describes it as "tRNA-Pro". It matches the Rfam family "tRNA". From Rfam's summary of the family: Transfer RNA (tRNA) molecules are approximately 80 nucleotides in length. Lineage: Bacteria; Bacillati; Actinomycetota; Thermoleophilia. RNAcentral also lists the same sequence under 1 other name. The record is from RNAcentral.